Molecule: ribosomal RNA, 301 nt
Filed under: uncultured bacterium
Lineage: Bacteria
Description: partial 16S ribosomal RNA
Rfam family: Bacterial small subunit ribosomal RNA
Source: RNAcentral
CAGUAGCCGCGGUAAUACAGAGGGUGCGAGCGUUAAUCGGAUUUACUGGGCGUAAAGCGUGCGUAGGCGGCUUCUUAAGUCGGAUGUGAAAUCCCUGAGCUUAACUUAGGAAUUGCAUUCGAUACUGGGAAGCUAGAGUAUGGGAGAGGAUGGUAGAAUUCCAGGUGUAGCGGUGAAAUGCGUAGAGAUCUGGAGGAAUACCGAUGGCGAAGGCAGCCAUCUGGCCUAAUACUGACGCUGAGGUACGAAAGCAUGGGGAGCAAACAGGAUUAGAGACCCCUGUAGUCCCUGUCUCUUAUAC